AUUGAACGCUGGCGGCAUGCCUUACACAUGCAAGUCGAACGGCAGCACGGGAGCAAUCCUGGUGGCGAGUGGCGAACGGGUGAGUAAUAUAUCGGAACGUGCCCAGUAGUGGGGGAUAACCCGGCGAAAGUCGGACUAAUACCGCAUACGACCUACGGGUGAAAGCGGGGGAUCGCAAGACCUCGCGCUAUCGGAGCGGCCGAUAUCAGAUUAGCUUGUUGGUGGGGUAAAAGCCUACCAAGGCGACGAUCUGUAGCUGGUCUGAGAGGACGACCAGCCACACUGGGACUGAGACACGGCCCAGACUCCCACGGGAGGCAGCAGUGGGGAAUUUUGGACAAUGGGCGCAAGCCUGAUCCAGCCAUGCCGCGUGCGGGAAGAAGGCCUCGGUUGUAA
RNAcentral lists this ribosomal RNA (396 nucleotides) under uncultured bacterium. Its description in RNAcentral is "bacterial SSU rRNA". It matches the Rfam family "Bacterial small subunit ribosomal RNA", at positions 29 to 428 of the family's 1533-position model. The record is from RNAcentral.